This 460-nucleotide ribosomal RNA is filed under the name uncultured bacterium. RNAcentral's name for it is "partial 16S ribosomal RNA". It matches the Rfam family "Bacterial small subunit ribosomal RNA", at positions 338 to 795 of the family's 1533-position model. The record is from RNAcentral.
CCUACGGGAGGCAGCAGUGAGGAAUAUUGGUCAAUGGACGCGAGUCUGAACCAGCCAUGCAGCGUGCAGGAUGACUGCUCUAUGGGUUGUAAACUUCUUUUGUACGAGAAUAAAGUCAGGCACGCGUAUCUUUUUGUAAGUACUUUAUGAAUAAGGAUCGGCUAACUCCGUGCCAGCAGCCGCGGUAAUACGGAGGAUCCAAGCGUUAUCCGGAUUUAUUGGGUUUAAAGGGAGCGUAGAUGGUCUGUUAAGUCAGUGGUGAAAGUUUGCGGCUCAACUGUAAAAUUGCCAUUGAUACUGGCAGGCUUGAGUACAGUUGAGGUAGGCGGAAUGCAUGGUGUAGCGGUGAAAUGCUUAGAUAUCACGCAGAACACCGAUUGCGAAGGCAGCUUACUAAGCUGCCACUGACAUUGAUGCACGAAAGUGUGGGUAUCAAACAGGAUUAGAUACCCUAGUAGUC